ACAUGGUGGUUCAGUGGUAAAAUUCUCGCCUUCCACGUGAGAGGCCCGGGUUUGAUCCCCAGCCAACGUA
This 70-nucleotide transfer RNA is filed under the name Loxodonta africana (African savanna elephant). It matches the Rfam family "tRNA". Rfam says of the family: Transfer RNA (tRNA) molecules are approximately 80 nucleotides in length. The record is from Rfam by way of RNAcentral. Lineage: Eukaryota; Metazoa; Chordata; Mammalia; Proboscidea; Elephantidae.